GCAGGCUGUCAGCUGUAAUGAAGGGGGAGCCCACAACUACAAUCAAGCUGUUCCUUUACCUUCGAUGAAACAGGGCGGUUUCCUCCUCAAAGACUCCCCUGUCCUCGUGUAGAGAGUAGCCGGAGAUCGCUCACAGCAUCCAGCAGUGGCGUGGCACAGCCUGCGCAAGAGGGCUGUCCCACUAGACAGCGUGCAAGACAGAGAAAAUAAUCCAUCUGAUUGCAUCCUGCUAUAAUGAGCUGAAAGGUUUCUCCAGCAUCCCCCAGAAUGGGUAGGAGGGAGCAGAAGGCGGACACAGAGACACAGACCACUUCUACAACCAGUGUACUCUGUCCACACUCAGAGAAACAAGAGACUACACACUUCGUUAUAUUCCUUGCAUUCACAUUUUUUACAUUCUAGAGCUACAGAGUCUGUUGGAUUCAUCUUGCUAUGGUUAUUGGAAGUAGCUCUUGAAGUCUCUCAAGAAUCUAGGAACAAGGGUCAAACAUUCAGAUAGUGUCAGUGAGCUUCAAAGCAAGAAAGGAACUGAGGUGUUGGCCAAGUAUAAGGGUUUCUGAGACACAUUGAUCCAAGGAAUUAGUAAAUGAUUGAGCGUUAUCAACAGUCUAGGAACAGAGGAUAAAAAAAAGAUGGGAAGAGACAGAAAGACACAGAUUCUUGUUAAGAGAGCUGGCCAUUCUAUUGUUUUCAAGAAACUCUGAUUUCCUGUACAGAGAAUCCCUAGGUUAAAAACGGCCUCUCCUAUUUAGGGGAUGCAUUUUUGGAAAGGGGAGAUUCAGUUUGUCGCAUCCAGAUUUAUAUAGAGAGAGAGAUUUAACCGUAAGUGUAUUCUGCUUGGUUUAGAAGACAGCUUUAUCUCUUCUGUUGACCUGUCUACAGCAGGUAUUAUAUAGGAUUUUAAUAACUGGUAGCACUCUGGGGUUUUUCUGGUUGGCCAGGACAUAGAUCUCUGGGAAGUGUUGUUUGUAAAUAGAGUAACUUGUAUGUUACAGUUUGAGCUGUGUGUUCUUAGUGUGUGUUUUGUCAUUGUUUGUAUUUGUUUAACCUAGCGUGCAUGAUUUAUUACCCUUUUCAUCAAAGCUGUGCUGGAGAAGAAAAGAACUCAGGUGCCAAAUCUUUAACACAUGGGGGUUAUAAUUAUCUAUUUGACUUACUGACUCAUUUGCUUGGUCUUCUUUUGUAAUUCUCUUUUUUCGUAACCGCCGAUUUGUAACAGUAUUUUGAAAGUUUGAAAUGUUGUCUCUUCUGGGUACGUACUUUUCCCAGUGUUUUUUAUAUAGCAAUGCCACAGCAGGAGAGGGGAGGCUCUGAUGAAUGUAACGUGUAAAUUUUAAAUAGCGCUCGCAUGAAAAUUAGAGCAGAAAUGACUUUUCUGACUGGGGGAAUUAGGCUUGAGUUAUCGCUUUACUACUUCUCUCUUUUUUUAAAUGUAAUGUGUUAUCUCACUCUUAAGAUCAUUAAAACACA
This is a non-coding RNA of Lepisosteus oculatus (spotted gar), 1470 nucleotides long. The record is from RefSeq and is a predicted model, not a curated record. Lineage: Eukaryota; Metazoa; Chordata; Actinopteri; Semionotiformes; Lepisosteidae.